This is a non-coding RNA of Pangasianodon gigas (Mekong giant catfish), 72 nucleotides long. The record is from the annotation of a GenBank genome assembly. NCBI's taxonomy places the organism in Eukaryota, Metazoa, Chordata, Actinopteri, Siluriformes, Pangasiidae.
UUAUAAUUUUUGAAUUAGCCUCAUUGUUAUUAUACCACAGUGCAGUUGAUCUAAGGCUAAUAAAAGCCAGAU